AUUGAACGCUGGCGGCAGGCCUAACACAUGCAAGUCGAGCGGAUGAAGGGAGCUUGCUCCUGGAUUCAGCGGCGGACGGGUGAGUAAUGCCUAGGAAUCUGCCUGGUAGUGGGGGAUAACGUCCGGAAACGGGCGCUAAUACCGCAUACGUCCUGAGGGAGAAAGUGGGGGAUCUUCGGACCUCACGCUAUCAGAUGAGCCUAGGUCGGAUUAGCUAGUUGGUGGGGUAAAGGCCUACCAAGGCGACGAUCCGUAACUGGUCUGAGAGGAUGAUCAGUCACACUGGAAAUGAGAAACGGUCCAGACUCCUACGGGAGGCAGCAGUGGGGAAUAUUGGACAAUGGGCGAAAGCCUGAUCCAGCCAUGCCGCGUGUGUGAAGAAGGUCUUCGGAUUGUAAAGCACUUUAAGUUGGGAGGAAGGGAAGUAAGUUAAUACCUUGCUGUUUUGACGUUACCAACAGAAUAAGCACCGGCUAACUUCGUG
Molecule: ribosomal RNA, 484 nt
Filed under: uncultured bacterium
Lineage: Bacteria
Description: partial 16S ribosomal RNA
Rfam family: Bacterial small subunit ribosomal RNA
Source: RNAcentral